RNAcentral lists this ribosomal RNA (233 nucleotides) under uncultured bacterium. RNAcentral's name for it is "partial 16S ribosomal RNA". It matches the Rfam family "Bacterial small subunit ribosomal RNA", at positions 103 to 339 of the family's 1533-position model. The record is from RNAcentral.
CGGGUGAGUAACGCGUAGGAAUCUACCCAGUAGCGGGGGAUAGCUUGGGGAAACUCAAAUUAAUACCGCAUACGUCCUACGGGAGAAAGCAGGGGAUCUUCGGACCUUGCGCUAUUGGAUGAGCACAAGUCAGAUUAGCUAGUUGGUGAGGUAAUGGCUCACCAAGGCGACGAUCUGUAGCUGGUCUGAGAGGAUGAUCAGCCACACUGGGACUGAGACACGGCCCAGACUCC